UGGGUAGUGACGGAGGCAGUUAGCUCAUGUCUCACGAACAAGUAUUCAAAAGGAUUACCAAGUAAAAGGUACUAUGGUGGCAAUGAGCAUAUUGAUGAGCUUGAAACACUAUGCCAAAGAGGGCUCUUGAUGCAUUUCACUUAGAUGGAAAGAGGUGGGGUGUUAAUGUUCAACCAUUGUCUGGUUCUCCUGCUAAUUUUGAGGUUUAUACUGCAAUUCUUAAACCUCAUGAUCGUCUCAUGGGUUUGGACUUGUCUCACGGAGGUCAUUUGUCUCAUGGUUUCAAAACUCCUAAAAGAUGGGUAUCAGGCACAUCCAUUUAUUUGAGUCCAUGUCUUAUUGACUCAAUGAAAAAUUUCUCCAUUCUGGGUAGAUAAUCCUCUCACAGACUCAACUGAGAUCUCCUAUCAAUCCUCUCAUACAAUCUUCAUCAGUUCUAUAUCUCCUAUCAAUCCUCUCACAAACUCAACUGAGACCAUGCCGCGUACAUCGUAUGACUAAUUAGUUCUCGCCCUUUCCCCUUUUUUGGUUUGCUCUCCAGAACACGGAACUGCAACCAUUCUCUUGGUUUUGGAUAAUGUGAUAGUUAUUGCGGCGGAUUUGAGAUUAAGCUCCAUCACCAAUUAGAUAGUGAAGCCUCAUCGGUUUAAGGUUAGGAAGAUUGGAGAAAAUCCAGCUUCGGUCGCUUGUUACAGCGGGUGCGGAAAACAUGUUAGAUCACUUAGAGGACAAGGGAAGAAAACACGUUCACACAAAUCGCUAAUUUGAGCCGCGUCCAAAUUUAUGAAGAACAAUGUGCCUUGAGAAUCGUUUGGAGCCCAUCUUGCCUCCAUAGAUUCUAAACCAAUGGCACACUUGGUUGUGCACGAGGUCAAACUGCAACAUGUGGCCGAUUGUCGGUGUGGGACAAGUGUAAUUGUUGGGACAUAAACUCAAUCUCUAAAGACAGAUACUGCGCACAGAGGACUCAAGGACUAUAUUGUCUGGGUAGUGGAGGAAAUGUUGCAUGCUAUUAUGUAGCUUUCAAAUACAAGUUGAAAGUUUACCUUCGUUUAUGUGAUUGUACUGCAUGCUUACGAAUGUACAGAAUAGCAUGCAUCAUUUCCUCCAUUGCCCAGACAGUAUAUUCCUCGAGUCCUCUUUGCACAAUAUCUGUCUUUUUGAGUCUAUAUCCCAGCAAUUACACUUGUCCUAGUUAGCUUCCCAUCGACAACCGGCCACAUGUUGCGGUUUAGCCUCAUGCAAAACCAAGUGCGCCAUUGGUCUAGAAUCUAUCAAGGCACGAUGACCUCCAAACGAUUUCCAAGGCACAUUGUUCUUCAUAAAUUUGGAUGUGGCUCGAAUUAGCGAUUUGUGUGAACAUGUUUUCUUCCCCUUGUCCUCUAAGUGAUCUAACCUGUUUUCCGCACCCACUAUAUUUUCGUUGUAAUAAGCGACUGAAGCUAGAUUUUCUCUAAUCUUCCUAACCUUAAACCGAUAAAGCUUCACUAUCCAAUUGGUGAUGGAGCUUAUUCUCGAAUCUGCCGCAAUAACUAUCACAUUAUCCAAAACCAAGAGAACGGUUGCAGUUCCGCGUUCUCCAAUGACAGUACCAACUGCAAAACCGAGGAACAAAUCUAAAUUGUUUGUCUUCACAAUUUCUUGUUUAAGAACAGCCGGCUAAGCAGCAAUUGUACGUUUAGUUGCUAGCACAUUUAAUUGAACUGUAACAAUAUCUACUUGGAUAAAGAAAUCAAUUAGUCAUUUCAUAGGUCUCCAAUGACAGUAGCAAAAACCCCACUUGAAAAACCAAUGAACAAAGCUAAAGAUAAGCAGUAAGUUCAUUUAGUUACUAGUACACUCAAUUUGACUUGCAUAAAACCAUGACAAUCCCCUACUUGGAUAAGAAAUCUAUAAGUGAUGGCACUGAUCUAUAGGAAAAACUAGCAAUCGUGCUCGUGCGAUGCUGCGGGCGUAAAAUUAAAUACGUUCAAAUGCAUUUACAACCAGCAUUGAUUCGAAUGAAAUUCAUGAAAGCAUAGGUUAAAGCAUACCUUGUAAGUUGCGCAAGGCGGAAUCUUUUUUUCAUCAUCUCUAGCUUUUGGUUGUUUAAGGUGCAGUAAAAGAUUAAGCAAUUACAUUACAUAGUCUAUUUAAUAAUUUAUCAUUAAGAAGGGUUGCAAUAUACAAAUAUAUAUAUAUAUAUAAAAGAUAAUUCCAGAUUGAAGAUGUCUGGACCCCAUACAUGAUCCAGUUCUUUGCUAGUUGACAUGGGUUAUAUAAUAUUUGUUAGAAUUGUUUAGGCAAUAGAUAUGGAGAUCAUGAGGAGUGGCAACAUACCUUGUAAUCUUUGCGAGGUGGACAUGCAAGACAUCAACAGCAACGUAAAAUUUUUCUUAGGCAUUGGAAAAACUAUAGCAAAAGCUAAAAUGCUAUAAGCAAACGACAGAAAAUUUACAACAAUAACUGAAAACAGAAAUUGCGAACAUGCAAGAUAUCAAUAGCAAUGUAUUCUUCUUAGGAGCAUAUUGUAACCAAACGACAGAAAAUUUAUAACAAUAACUGAAAAUAGAAAUUACAAACGAAAAAAAUAAGCAAAAAUUUGUUUUUUACGAUAUACAUUUCCUGAUGAUUGAAGCUAGAAUAACACUGUAUCUGCUGUUUAACAUUAACCUCACAAUUUUUUUUUUACGAAUUAAAACCAAUGUUUCCCCACCCCUUCUGACCAUUACAAAAGGCAGAAAAAUAAAACUCUCCUUUUAAGUUCUUUAAUCAUUUAGAUAAAUAAAAGAUUCUCUUCCAGUGGUAAUUUUAACCUAACAUCAAAUUUUCCUAAAUUCUAAUCACUCCUUUGUUUUUUUCCAAAAAUGACAAACACAUCUAAUCUAACACCCAUCCAGUUUCGCCAAAGGCAUUCUUUUCCUUUUGACUUUCGCCGAAACACACCGUUUUGUCUAAAGAAAAUGUUAGUCGUCUUCUUUUCUGGUUUCCAACUUUGCAGAAUCCCAAAACAGUGCAACACCAUUGGUGAAGCAUGAUUUCCGAACUGGCAAUGCACAAUGCACCAAAAUUAUAAACGAAUUUUAAUCUAACAUCAAAUUUACCCAAACUCCAAUCAUUCCUCUCAUUUCUUCCAAAAAAUUACAAACACAUUCUAAUCUAACACCCUUCAACGGGGUCCCAAACGGAGAAAAAACGAUAUGACAAAUGACUUACCCAAAAAAUAACAAGACCAGCGGAGGCACUGCCAAAUUUGUGAUUGAUCAAUCAGGGAACCAAAAUGAAAAAUAUCCUCUUAGACACAUGAUCAGAACUGACCCAAAACAAAAUGGUUACAAUUUCAUCCAAAUUAACCAAAACCCAAAACAGUACUUAGAGAACAUACCUCAGUGGUCAUCAAACGAAAAACAAAACCCGAAACAGAUCCUGCCAAAAUCAGUCAACAACUGACGGAAACAAACGCAAAGACCGCAAAAUAUUCACCGUCGAUCGCAACCCCAAAAAUGUUGCGAAGCAAUUUUA
Molecule: non-coding RNA, 3501 nt
Organism: Malus domestica (apple)
Lineage: Eukaryota; Viridiplantae; Streptophyta; Magnoliopsida; Rosales; Rosaceae
Source: RefSeq, a predicted model, not a curated record